This 4268-nucleotide long non-coding RNA is filed under the name Nicotiana tabacum (common tobacco). RNAcentral's name for it is "long non-coding RNA (NTAB_LNC017048)". Lineage: Eukaryota; Viridiplantae; Streptophyta; Magnoliopsida; Solanales; Solanaceae. The record is from RNAcentral.
CCAUCUUGAAUGUUGUGUUGUGAGGUGAUAUAUUCUUUAAAUCCAUGGAUACUAUUUACAUAUUGACAAAAAGUGAUAAAUUUACAAUGUUGUAAUUAGUCUUCUUCGCAGUCCUUGAUAAAAUAUAAUGGCACCUGUAGAAGCAGGAAGUGAUGAUCAAAUGUCAAUAACCAAUAUAAAGGGACUAAUUUAUCUUUCCAGGUAAAUGAAGAAAGAAAGCGGAGGAAAACGGGAAAAAGGACUAUUACUGAUUUAGAAAAUCAUUCAAAAGAGGAUGAGGUAUGUGCAACGUAACAGCCAAGUCCGCACCCACUACCUCAAAAGGAGAAGAAUGAACUGAUAUAUAAAUAGAACAAAGGGCGCAAGGAUACCAGAAAUGCCCUCUAACGUUUUUUUGAGAAGUGAAGUGCCUUCUAACAUUAACAAAAGAAAAAUAAACAUGAUGAAUCUUGAAGGAGGAAGAACAAAUAUCUUUUUUUGCUUCUAAUAGGGAGAAGAGGGUAAUGCAAAGUCAAUUUACACCAAUACACAUACUUGUGCCCAACAUCCUUUCUGUGUGCAUCAAUAUCAACACCUCUCUCAGAAGAUUCUUCUUUUUAUACGGUAGACUAUGGCUAAUGAAUAAAAUUGGCAGUCCUUAAUUUUAUUUUACAAUAGUACUUAAGAAAAGAAUUAGCACGCAACUUUAGCAGCUUUGGAGCAACUCAUAGUAUUAUGUCGCAUAACUCUCCCAAAAAGUAAUGAUUAUUUCUUCUGAAAAGAAAGAGUAUGUGGGAGAGUGUCUGCAUAAAGUUGUUGUACGCAAUUUCUUGUUUGAUUUGGUUUUUCCACUAUUGCUAUCUCAAGAAUAUGUAUCAAUUUACUAUUUAGUGAUGUUGUGAAUGAAGAGUAGUUUUAGAUUUUCUCAGUGUGUCUCAAGAUAUAGUUGUAGCAAAACUACUCUGUACCUUAUAUUUCUCUUUUACUUAAUGUUUUCUCCCUUAAUUCCAUGCAGUAAACCUAUCAAUGCUUCUGCGGUCAAUCAUUUAUAAUUUUUGUUUCAUGAAAUUGCCUACAGUAUCGUUAUAUGAUUGAUGGACCAGUCAUAUUGUACUUUUUAUAGGGGCAAAGAAAGGUUUAGAAAAUUAUCCAUUGAAGCAUAUACAUUAUAUUUUUUUUUUGAAGGGUUACGUGUUUGCAUUCUUUCACGAAAGAGCACUCGGUACUGCGGAAUCAUCUAUCUUGUUUUCCUUCUCUCAAUCACUAAAUCCAUCACUAAUUCUCAGAAGAACAAAAGUUUUCUUUAUUAAUCUUCAUUCAAAAUUCCAAAACAUAGAAAGUUAGCUUUUAUAAUAUUCCUUCUAAGUUUUUUUCUUUCCUCUUUGACUUCACAAACGGUACAACUAUUAGUAAGUACUGAGACAAAAAAGAUAACUUUGGCUAACUUAGUACACUAAUCUAGCCUUACAUAUUUAUCAAAAUCACAAUUUUAAAUCGUCCCUUAAUUUAAAAAACUCCGUAAAUUGAAAUUUAGCAUGCUUGAAAAACCUGCAGUAUUUAUAAGUAAUGUUUGCCUCUAAACAGAUGGUACCACCACUCCAAGAUCAAGAUGCUAGGAAGAAAGUUAAAAUUACUCAAGCAAAGAAAUGCAUGCAUCAAAGUUCAUACAACGACUUGAGCUUACUUAAGACUAUUCACAACUCUUCUUUUUAUAUUUUUGGAAUCACACUUAUGUUUAAGCAUGCGAAUUUUAGGAAUAAGCUGAAACUAAUCGAAAAAAAUAAAAGAAUGGGACUUAAUGGAGUCUUUUAAAACUCUACUCCUUUUGUUUCAAAUUUGUUGCUUCUUAACAAACAGAAUAGUUGGAAUCCAGAAAUCAUACGUAUUAACUCCAUUCUUGAAGUCCCCACACCACUUUUUUUCUAGCCUCAAAUGCAAUGUAUUAUCUAAAUUUUACUUCCUUCUCCUUGUAUAGGAUCAAGUAAUAUACUGUUACAGCUAUAGCUAAGCACCAUUAUAAGUCAAUAAGUGAGGAACUUACUACAACUCACAAACCCCGCAUUAUAAUUCAGAAUAAAUUGUCAAGGUCUGAUAAGUAAUUAUGCGUUGCUGUCACACCUCCUUUUUACCCGAAAGGAAUACAAGGGAAUUUUUUUAAUUUAAGUGACAUUAAUCGAAAUGAUAUUAUUUAUUUAUUUCAGACUCGCCACUUGAGAUAUUUAUUAUGGUGUCCUAAGUCACCGGUUUAUUUUAAAUCCCAAAUCGAGAAAAAUCGACUUUAUUUAAAAGUCUGCGAAACCAGAAAACUAGGUAAGGAAUUAUGUUAAUCCGGGAGAAGGUGUUAGGCAUUUUCGGGUUCCGUGGUUCUAGCACGGUCGCAUAACAAUUAAUAAUUGAUCAAAUAAUCUGAUUAAUUACAUAUUUUUUAGACCUAUUGUGCAUUUUUAACAGCUUUUAAUUAUUUAUGGAAUUAUUUCUGGAACAAGUUACGAUUGUCGUACACUUGUUUGUUUUUGUACAUGUCACAAAUUGUGUCACGGGAACCGUACCCAUGACCUACAAUAUGUGUAUUUUAUUAUUGAUCAAAGUUGUGCUCGGGUCACAUAAAAUGUGCACCCGAAUUUGGGGAAUUAGGUAUCACUACUAUGCCACAGGAACCAUACCCAUAGCCGUGAUGAUUCAUUUAACAAUCGUGCCUAAAGCAAACUAGUAUUCAUAUGAUCAUUUUUUCUAAGGUUUGAAGUCAAGUGAACGUCAAAGAACUAUGAAAAGGAGUCGGGUAAAGUGUGAGUUCUGUUAAUGUGGACACAAGAUCUAAAUAUGUUUUUUCUUGGAGUCAAUGAUGUCACUACAAGUUAAUGAACCAUUUUGACAAAUUGGGCCAAGGUCGAUUGGAUCCAACAUUAUUUAAAGAAAACUAGUGAUUACUUAAUAAAAUUUUGACAAAAGGCUAAACUAAAAAAAAUAUUUGUAUUGCAUAGAAGGGUUGGAAAGAGUUCAAACAACACAUCGGAAUCUCAAAAUCCUUGCCAAAUAUAGGCGUGCACAAAUCCAGGCAUCAGCGAUUUUCAAAACCAUUAUACUAGCUACUUAAGUCACAUUUCAUGAACAAACAACAUAUACUAAACUGGGGCAUCUCAAGUUAAUAUGUACUGGUCUUAGACGUGUUUAAACGAAAUGGACCCAGUUUUCAAACUCUGAACAAGAAACAUUUGGGUUGCUGUAAAGAAAAGAGCUGAGACAACUAUGAUUUAAACUAAGUAUGAAUACAUUUAUACACUACCAAUAAUAAAUGGCUUCAUUACAUUUUUACAAAUAAUUACAAGCCUUGAACUAAAUUAAUAAAAGUAAUCUGUAUAGGAUGGAAUCAAAUUGAUUUUGAAUCUGCCUAGUGAUCAACUUAGCAACAAAUUUCGCCAUGUUCUUGAAGUUGCCUAUCAUUCACAAAAGGCUAACCAACCAGUGGCUAGAUUUGUAGAUCUAAGCCUCGUGCCAAGCACUCACAAACUCAUGCAUUACCAAAUGCCAACAAUACCAAAACAAAGUGAUUUCAAAUGGGGAGGGCUUUACACAAAAGAAAAUGCAGCCAAACUUCUGAAAUCUCAAACAUUUAGGGAAUUUUUAGAACUUCAAGUAUACUUUGAUAGUCAAAGCUAAAAGAAAGAACUUAUUUUAAUGCAUUGUUUCCUAUUUCAUUAAGGUUUGAGACAUUCUGAUGUUUUAAAUUAAAAACUUAAACUCAUAAUCAAACAUGAAAGCAAAGAGCAUCCAGUAUACAUGAAGUGAACAAAUAGCUGAAAUCUCAAAGCCAUGUAACAUUCAAAUACCAACUUUAUUAUCAGGAAAAAACUAUCAUUACAUACCUUACUAUCAGCAAAGAAAAGGAAAUAAAAAGAUGAAUAAAAGCUAGAAGAAACAACAGCCAGAAUAUAGCAGGAGCAACAGAGCAGCAACCAAAAAUCCAGAAUAUUUGACUAAACCAACUUUUAACAGCAGAGAUGAUGAACAAGGGAAACAUGGAGGUAUUUCUGUUUUCAAAUCCCUUGAAAACUUAGAAAAAGAAGGAAAAUCAAUGUGAAAAUCCAAACUCAUUUCCCAUAAUUCUUUGUAUUUCAGAGAUGUCUUUUUUUUAUGUUGCCUAUGCUGAUGAUGAUGUGUGUGAGAAUGAGUGAAAGUCUAUUCUUUUAUAGAGUGUACCAAAACAGCAUCAAAAGAAUAUUCUGCCCUAAAUUCCCUAGAUAGUACAACAUAUUUUGACAGAGAAUAAUGGAUAGCUGUCCAGUUUUCAC